Capsicum annuum is the source of this 2086-nucleotide RNA transcript. It is a transcript of the gene named ubiquitin-conjugating enzyme E2 2-like, with no coding region annotated. The record is from RefSeq and is a predicted model, not a curated record. The transcript has 4 exons. Lineage: Eukaryota; Viridiplantae; Streptophyta; Magnoliopsida; Solanales; Solanaceae.
UUUUGUUUUGGUAUAUGUGUACACUUUAACCUAACAACUGUAAGCAAGUACAUGUAACUCCGGAGUUAUAAAAAAGCUUCUAAAAACUAACCGAGCUAGAGGGAUUCAAACACACACCAUAAGAUAUAGCUAGAGGGAUGGAAGUUGUACCUAAAGCCACAGCACUCAGCCACAUUUUUGUUCAUUGGGUGCUUUUUUAUAUAUAAUAUCAGUUUUGCUGUGACUACUUAUAUAAUUAUACCUAAUCUAUGUUGAAUUUAUGGGUGCUGGAGCACCUAAAUAAAUACGUGGGUCCGCCCCUGGUGGGUGCAAAAGGACGGGUUGAUCAUCAAUCUCCCGUCGACAAGCUAUCAUUCAAAUUGUCGCCGCUUUACCCAUCUCCCUAUUUCUUAUAUAUAUUUUCUCCGUCUUCUCAAUUCAUUCAUGUGAUUGUUUUAUGUGUUUUUUGCACAAAUUGAUUUUUUUCCAUUUAUUCAUGAAAUUCCUGUUUUUGCUUUCGCUUUGAAUUUUCUUUAUGGAUUUAGGGUUUUGGUUGAUUUGUAGCAUUUGCCUGCCAUGAUAUUUUGAAGUACUACUUGUUAAUUAUUGGUGAGCUCUAGGGUUUUGUAUUCAAGAAAUAACUUUUUGUAUAUGGAUCUAGGUUUUUUUUUCCGCUUUGAUUUUAACAAGUGCGUUUACGUGUAUGAUCUAGUCCUUUUUUGGUUCAUAAAACUGGAAAGUACAGACUUUGUUGACUCAAUUAAUUUACAUGAAGAUUAAACUGUUUUUGGUCUUAUAAACCAGAAGACUACAACAUUGUAUGCAUUAGUUUAGUUAUGAUGGUGAAUAAGCCUAUGUUCUUGUGGUAAAUUGGAAAUAUAAGAUAUCCGUGAGCUAAUAUAAUUUCUGUGGUGAAUUUUAUUGUAUUUGUUGGUCUACUAAACUGGAAAAGUUUAAGACCUGGGAUGGAAUAAUUCAAUUUCCAAAGAAAAUAUAGGGGCUUUUUGGUCUAGAAGACUGGAAAGUUAAAAAUUUAUGUCGAUUUUAGAAAUCUAUUGAGGUGUAAUAAUUUUAUGACCACAUCAUUUUUUUUUGGUCUACUAAACUGUACAGUUAACAUUUUGCGUGGACUAGUUUAAUUUCAACAGGGAAUAUAGUCGCUCUUUGGUCCAAAAAGUUAGAAUUGUGUCGACACUAGCAAGUUUUCAGGUAUAAUUUUAUAACAACAUUUUAAUUUUGAUGGCGAAUUUAGUUACAUUUUUGGUCUAGGAGUCUGGAAAUUUCAAGAUGUUCCAUUGACUAAUUUAGUUUCCAUGUUGAAUUUAGCUGGCUAUUAUUUGGUAUAGAAAUUAGAAAUUUCUUUGUCGAUCUUAGCAAUUUAUUGUGGUAUAAUUUGUUGAUAAGGCGGUGAAGAUAUCGACACCGGCGAGGAAGAGACUGAUGAGGGAUUUCAAGCGGUUACAGCAGGAUCCUCCAGCUGGCAUUAGUGGAGCUUCUUAUGACAACAAUAUAAUGCUUUGAAAUGCUGUCACUUCUGGUCCUGAUGACACUCUGUGGGAUGAAGUUUAUGCUGAUGGAAGUAUUUACUUAGACAUCCUGCAAAAUCAAUGGAGUCCCAUAUAUGAUGUAGCUGCUAUACUUACUUCAAUCCAGUCAUUGCUCUGCGAUCCAAACCCUAACUCGCCAGCUAAUUCGGAAGCUGCACGCAUGUUUAGUGAGAACAAGCGCGAAUAUAACAGGAAGGUGCGGGAGAUCGUUGAACAAAGCUGGACAGCAGACUGACUUCUCCUUCACUCUGAACAUGUUACAGGAGAUUAUCCUGAUAGGAUUGCCUGCGUCAAACUGAAAUGUUCAUGCUUUUCCUCACUACAUAGGACAUUUUUGUUUCAUGCGUUCUUAGGUACGUUGGUGUGUGUUUAAUUAAUGUUAUGCUGCUUGACCACGAGGGACGAUAUCUACAUAUGAUUUCUUGUGGCCAAACUGGAGUGAAAUUGUAUCAAGCCUGUUUCCGUUAGUAAUCAAAAAAGGACUUCAGAUGAGGAAAGAACACUGAUCCCUGUAUGUUAAUUUAAUUCUUUUGAGAGCUCAAAGGAGGCUUAUUAUGAUC